This 387-nucleotide ribosomal RNA is filed under the name uncultured bacterium. Its description in RNAcentral is "bacterial SSU rRNA". It matches the Rfam family "Bacterial small subunit ribosomal RNA", at positions 28 to 417 of the family's 1533-position model. The record is from RNAcentral.
GACGAACGCUGGCGGCGUGCUUAACACAUGCAAGUCGAGCGGUAAGGCCCUUUCGGGGGUACACGAGCGGCGAACGGGUGAGUAACACGUGGGUGACCUGCCCUCAGCUCUGGGAUAAGCCUGGGAAACCGGGUCUAAUACUGGAUAUGACUCCAUGACGCAUGUUGUGGGGUGGAAAGCCUUGUGCGGCUGAGGAUGGGCCCGCGGCCUAUCAGCUUGUCGGUGGGGUGANGGCCUACCAAGGCGACGACGGGUAGCCGGCCUGAGAGGCGACCGGCCACACUGGGACUGAGACACGGCCCAGACUCCUACGGGAGGCAGCAGUGGGGAAUCUUGCGCAAUGGGCGAAAGCCUGACGCAGCGACGCCGCGUGAGGGAUGACGGCCU